CUGUGGGAAAUAAAGUAAGUAUGAAGGUUUUUAACAAUGGGAAAAAAGAGAAGGAUCAUCUAGCAGUGAUUAUAACCUAGACGGCCUAAGACUUACCUCUAAAAGGACCCAAGGCAAUGAACUUUCUCCUCGUGUACAAAAAAGGCCUUUAUGCCCUAUAUUCUCAUCAUUGAAAGAGGUAGACAACAGGAGGGGGGCAAAAUAUGGCCUUCCAGAUGUGUCAGGGUUGUGAUAAGUCAUGUUUAAACUUUACCCAAAGUGAAAUAAAGUGUCAACAGAAACUCCUGUCCAAACUCUCUGAUCAGGUCAGGCAAACAACCAAUCGAAAAAAAAUCAAUCAAAUGUGAAAGGUGGCCCAAAGGGGUGGGAAUGCUUAACUCCGGGAUUCCCAUAGAAGCCAGGUCUAUUUAGCAACAUGUUUCUUGCGAGCUGCUGCUUCUUCUUGUGGUCCUGAAACAGCCAGAAAGCACACCAGAGGGUGUCCUUUCAUGAGCUGGCUUGACCCUGAGCAGGCUGAGAAGUUGGUGGCAUUUGCCAAUGCCAUGAAGAAGGAAGGAUUCUGGGACGGAUGAGCUCAAAACUGAUUGUCUGAUCAGCCCCAGGGUCAGUGCUUUGAGAAGAGAGAUGGUCUACACACCUAAGAGGAAUGGGAAAUUUAGCCUUGAUCUGGAAUUCUAUAAGUGCUCAAAGAAAUUAGUUAGUUCUUGAAGGUGAAAGAGGAGAGCAAAAACUUCUAAGUACACCUGGCAGAGUGGUAGCAAUAUGCUUCCACAUGGCCUGUCCAGUUGGAAACAGACUGCAUUUCCCCAGGGGUAAGGAGUCGGCAGGAACCAGACAGAAGCUUGAAGCCCAGCCAAACAGACUAGUGUGUAGGACAGGAUUACAAUUGCAAGAAGGAGGUAAAGUAUAUAUAAAUCAGAAAUGGGAGAAAGGAUCCAAUCUUAUGAAUGGAAUAAAUAUGGCACAAUUCAAUGGGUUUUGUGGACAAGAAGGUGUUUGGAUCUUACCUUCCACAACAAAUCAAAUUCUAGAUGCCUAGUGCAGAUGGAACUCUUAAAGCAUCACCAUUCUAUCUGGGUACGCCCAGGAACCAAAUGGGCUGAUGGUUUCAGCUAGAUAAGACUGGAAGACAGCAAGGACUUGGAAAUGUACUCACAGACCCUCCUACCCGUGAUAACUGACUUCAGAGCACACCUUCAUUCCCACCUUUCUAUAUUUUAACAUGGGAUUGAGACUGGGACAGAGGUUAACAAGGCAUCUCAAGCCAAUCAAGAACUAGAUGCACAUAACUGCAUUUGAUGGGGAAGUAAAAAUUACUACAAAUUUAAAAAAAAGUGUAUAUACGUUCACCAAGUAGCUAUAAUUCUAGGGUCUUAUUUUUAAGGAAAAAAAAAUGCAUUAAAGGUAGAAAAGGAGAAACAUAGGUGGAGGGAGAGGAAGAAAGCUGGAGAGGAAGGCAUUUUGAACAUCUAUCACUAUUAUAUUAGGAACUUCACAUGAACCAUCUCAUUUACCUCUCACAAAAUCUAUGAGAUUGAGACAAUGCUGCUUAUUAUGGCAUCGUUAAUCAUAGUGAAAAAUUGAAAACAGCCUUCUUGUAUACUGCUAAGAAAACUGGGGCCUUAAGUGGGUGCAAAUGUUUGUCUAAACCAAUACAUUGACUGCUCUACAAGAAAAUGCUGGUGUGGUCCUUCAGAUAUUCUGCCAGGUACCUCCCCACCUAAUCCCUGACCGUAGCCUCAGCCCAACUGCUCUGAAGCUUCUAGUACCUGCAUGGCUGGACAAGGGACACUGGGAUCACCACCCACAACCCUGCAUGCUGCAAUCUUCUUCCCACACCAACCCCACUCUCUCUGCCCCAAGCAAGAUGACUAUGCAAACGAGAGAAGGCCUAGGAUCUCAAGUCCCAGUGACUCACCUGCCAGCUCUAGGCAUACAUAUAUGACCUGUAGACUUCAUAUUAAAUCAUCCUCUUCCUGAUACCAAACAUCCUUAUGGGUGACUGGUACAUCCUCUGGUAAUCCAAAAAUGUCCUACAUACCUGUGUGAUGUAGUAAGCUACUGUCUCCCAGCUCCCAAACCUCCAAUACCCUGCUCUGGGACGCUAAAAGAGUCUCUGUAAAUCAUGUUUUUCCUUUGCUAGUUGCUCCUAAUAGAUAGAUUCUGGCAAUAGGGGGCAGUAAAGGGAGAUUGGAAUCAGGAGAAGGCAGAAUGCAUUUCCCCACUUUUUUUUUACUUGCUGCUCCCGCCAGUGCUACCUAGCAGCAAUACUUCAUCCCUACAGCAGCAGUUGGAUACAGCCCCCAUCUCCUAGAGUCAGCCUCAAAGUGCUUUCUCAGAGGUACAAGCUCUAGGAAGUCAGUAUUGCUCCUUCCUUAGAUAUUUGAAUUCCAGCUCUAUAAGAUUCCUCCUUCAAUCUCCUGGGAUGCCAUCAGCAGCCAUAUAGGGCCUCCCCCUCAGAGGCUGGGCUUCAACUCCUCAAGACCCUUCCUCUGAUCCUUUAGGUUGCAAUAGACCUAAUCUUUUCCCUUAUUCCCCAGCCCUGGUAGGGGUAGCUUCUUCCUGAAGUUACUAUCUCUAUGUUAUCUCAUUGUUCCCAUUUCAUUACUUCAGCCUUCCAAAAAGGCUGAAAUAUAUAUAACCAACUUCCUAAAUUAAAUCCCCUCUGUUGAAACACCUAAUGUGCUUUCUGUAUUCCUGCAUGCACCUUAACUAACACAAUAUCCCAAAAUUCUUUCUGGUUGUUACCUAAGGGAGAAAUCUGAAAAUCAACUCAACAUAAUGCUUAGGAAACAACAGGUGCUGGAGAG
This 2810-nucleotide long non-coding RNA is filed under the name Homo sapiens (human). Its description in RNAcentral is "HSALNT0244824". The record is from RNAcentral. Lineage: Eukaryota; Metazoa; Chordata; Mammalia; Primates; Hominidae.